AUACGGAGGAGGCAAGCGUUGUUCGGAAUUAUUGGGCUUAAAGAGCGUGUAGGCGGCCAAGUAAGUGUCUUGUGAAAUCCCUAGGCUCAACCUAGGAACUGCUCGGCAUACUGCUUGGCUUGAGGUCGGUAGAGGUGACUGGAACUCUAGGUGGAGCGGUGAAAUGCGUAGAUAUCUAGAGGAACGCCGGAGGCGAAAGCAGGUCACUGGGCCGAUUCUGACGCUGAGACGCGAAAGCGUGGGUAGCAAACAGGAUUAGAAACCCCGGUAGUCC
Molecule: ribosomal RNA, 274 nt
Filed under: uncultured bacterium
Lineage: Bacteria
Description: partial 16S ribosomal RNA
Rfam family: Bacterial small subunit ribosomal RNA
Source: RNAcentral